CGCCGAGAACAUUACGGGCUCCGUACAGUUCUUCCAUUUUUUAGAGCUGAAGGAAAAUGACGAAAAUGCAUGGAGAUCGAGAGAAAGUGAAGAAGACGAAAAUGGGAAACAAAGCAGUAUCAGCGUGCGUGGCAGGCAAUUCGCAUACCAAUGGAAGCCUCGCCUCCUCUCUUCUACGAUUUCUAUCUCAAGAUCCCUCCUGGAUCUCGCUGAUGGAUCCGAUAAUCCAAAAUUUUUACUCCUUCAAUGUCGAAAUUCCUUCAUUUUCAGCUUUCUUUAUGAGCUUUUGUACUCUGUGGUUAAACUGUGCUUGUCUGGUGUAGGUUGAAGAUUCUGGCGGGUAAGCAUAUGGCGGGAGGAAGAGAUGCAAUGCAAGAUUGCAAUUGCUAACACUCAAUUGGUUUGUGGUGGUGAUUUGGCCUAUUUAGGUGGUUCUUGGAGUAAAACCGUCGGAUCUGAUGGAGAGAUUCCACUCCAGGGUGACUUCUCUGCAGAACAUAUGAUAUUUGGAGUUGAAGGAAUUGAUCCUGCUAGGAGAGAAAAGUUGAUUGACUUGCUUGAUAUUGAUCUACUCUGGCAUGUGGAUAAGGUAUCAGACAGGUAGCAGCAUCGAAUCCAGAUUUUUAUGGGUCUUCUUGUCCCAUUUAAGGUACGGUGAAACAUUGCAGGUCCUCUUGGUGCAUUUGCAGUGGUAAAGGUUUGGGCUAUUCCAGAGUUGGUUUCUGAAAAUUCAGCAAAACCAAGUCUUUGAUCUGGGAGUGCUUAUCUGUUUUGAACUUCUUAUUCUACACCUUCUCCUUUAUUGUAAUGCAGAACUGUGUACUUAGUUGUUCUAAUACCUACACUCACAAAAAAAAUUUCUACUUUCUUGCUGUUUUGGCUGUUUAACUAGACAAGGUGUUUAACUCUUCAACUUGCAGGUUUUGACUGACCUAAUUGCUUAUUUGCCCACUUUAAUGCCUUGUUUUGCAUCUUGGUUCCUUGUAUGAUAAAGAUAUUGAUGAGUGGUCCUCGUAUUUCAAUUUUCUCACUAGCCAAAAUUUUCUAUUUUAGGUUCUUUUACUCAAUGAAGACGACCUGGACGUAGUUGCCAGUCUGGAUUUGCUUGAGUUCUCCGGGGAAGAUUGUGAACAGGUAUGAUUUUUAUCAUGGCAUCCAAGAAAGUAACAUCAUUGUUAUAUGAACUAAAAUUGUUGAAUAUGAAACAUUUUUCUGCUUCUUAAGUAAAACAAUAUGAUCAGGUACCCUCUCAGCAUUCUAUUUUUUAAAUAUUUUUAUGAUAAAUGAAGUGCGCAGGGUGCUUUUUUAUUUCCUUAAGCGUUGGAUCGUAACAUGCAAAAGAAUUCCUCCUGGAAGCCAAUUAUCAUAUCAUGAACAUCUACUGCGUUUCUUCCAUUUAUGCUAUUUUAUUGAUUGCAGAGAGGAGCUACACUUGUAUAUGCAACUGAUAUAUUUGAUGGGUCGGAAACAUGGGCAACGUAUCUGGCUUGCAUCCUGGAUGGUGAACUGAUCGAGGAGGUCUGAGAAGUUAAU
This 1533-nucleotide unclassified non-coding RNA is filed under the name Hevea brasiliensis (rubber tree). Lineage: Eukaryota; Viridiplantae; Streptophyta; Magnoliopsida; Malpighiales; Euphorbiaceae. The record is from RNAcentral.